CCUACGGGUGGCAGCAGUGAGGAAUAUUGGUCAAUGGGCGCGAGCCUGAACCAGCCAAGUAGCGUGAAUGAUGACUGCCCUACGGGUUGUAAACUUCUUUUAUAAAGGAAUAAAGUGAGGCACGUAUGCCUUUUUGUAUGUACUUUAUGAAUAAGGAUCGGCUAACUCCGUGCCAGCAGCCGCGGUAAUACGGAGGAUCCGAGCGUUAUCCGGAUUUAUUGGGUUUAAAGGGAGCGUAGAUGGGUUGUUAAGUCAGUUGUGAAAGUUUGCGGCUCAACCGUAAAAUUGCAAUUGAUACUGGCAGUCUUGAGUACAGUUGAGGGAGGUGGAAUUCGUGGUGUAGCGGUGAAAUGCGUAGAUAUCACGAAGAAUUCCGAUUGCGAAGGCAGCCCACUAAACUGACACUGACACUGAGGCGCGAAAGUGUGGGUAUCAAACAGGAUUAGAUACCCGGGUAGUC
RNAcentral lists this ribosomal RNA (460 nucleotides) under uncultured bacterium. RNAcentral's name for it is "partial 16S ribosomal RNA". It matches the Rfam family "Bacterial small subunit ribosomal RNA", at positions 338 to 795 of the family's 1533-position model. The record is from RNAcentral.